GACGAACGCUGGCGGCGUGCUUAACACAUGCAAGUCGAACGGUGAAGCGCCUUCCUUUUUGGUGGGUGUGGAUGAGAGGCGAACGGGUGAGUAACACGUGAGUAACCUGCCCCCUUCUUCUGGAUAACCGCAUGAAAGUGUGGCUAAUACGGGAUAUUCUGCGUCUGUGGCAUGAUGGGUCAGGGAAAGAUAUUGUUUCGGUGGGGGAAGGGCUUGCGGCGUAUCAGCUUGUUGGUGGGGUGAUGGCCUACGACGGCGUGGGAGGGUAGACGGCCUGAGUGGGUCAGCGACAAGGCUGAGACUGAUACGGGGGGCAGCAGUGGGGAGGAGUGCACAGUGGGGGAUAUUCUGAUGCAGCGACGCCGCGGGAGCAGUGGAGGCCUGCGGGGUGUGAACCUCUUUCGCUAGUGAAGCAGGCCUGCCUCGUUUGUGGGGGGGUUGACGGUAGCUGGAUAAGAAGCGCCGGCUAACUACGUG
RNAcentral lists this ribosomal RNA (477 nucleotides) under uncultured bacterium. Its description in RNAcentral is "partial 16S ribosomal RNA". It matches the Rfam family "Bacterial small subunit ribosomal RNA", at positions 28 to 507 of the family's 1533-position model. The record is from RNAcentral.